AGAGUUUGAUCCUGGCUCAGAACGAACGCUGGUGGCGUGCUUAACACAUGCAAGUCGAACGAGAAAGUUUCCUUCGGGAAAUUAGUAAAGUGGCGCAAGGGUGAGUAUCACGUGAAUAAUCUGCCCUCGAGGUCGGGAUAACAUGGUGAAAACUAUGCUAAUACCGGAUAAGACCACAUUUCAUAAGAAAUGCGGUAAAAGGAGUCUCAAUCUUCACUCGAGGAUGAGUUCGCGCAACAUUAGCUUGUUGGUGAGAUAAAAGCUCACCAAGGCUACGAUGUUUAGCCGGCCUGAGAGGGUGAACGGCCACACUGGAACUGAGACACGGUCCAGACUCCUACGGGAGGCAGCAGUGGGGAAUAUUGCGCAAUGGGCGAAAGCCUGACGCAGCAACGCCGUGUGAGCGAUGAAGGCUUUAGAGUCGUAAAGCUCUGUCAAAUGGGAAGAAUUUUGACGGUACCAUUAGAGGAAGCCCCGGCUAACUCCGUGCCAGCAGCCGCGGUAAUACGGAGGGGGCAAGCGUUGUUCGGAAUUAUUGGGCGUAAAGCGUAUGUAGGCGGCUAGAUAAGUCAGGCGUGCAAGCCCGUGGCUCAACCACGGAAUUGCGUUUGAAACUAUUUAGCUUGAGUACAGGAGAGGAAAGCGGAAUUCCCAGUGUAGCGGUGAAAUGCAUUGAUAUUGGGAAGAACAUCUGUGGCGAAGGCGGCUUUCUGGUCUGUUACUGACGCUGAGAUACGAAAGCCAGGGUAGCGAACGGGAUUAGAUACCCCGGUAGUCCUGGCUGUAAACGAUGGGCACUAGGUGCAGGAGGUAUCGAUCCCCUCUGUGCCGUAGCUAACGCGUUAAGUGAUCCACCUGGGGAGUACGUUCGCAAGAAUGAAACUCAAAGGAAUUGACGGGGGCCCGCACAAGCGGAGGAGCAUGUGGUUUAAUUCGAUGAUACGCGAGGAACCUUACCAAGGCUUAAAUGUAGAUUGACAGAUUGUGAAAACAAUUUUUCUUCGGACAAUUUACAAGGUGCUGCAUGGUUGUCGUCAGCUCGUGCCGUGAGGUGUCGGGUUAAGUCCCAUAACGAGCGCAACCCCUACCCUUAAUUGCCAUCGGGUUAUGCCGGGCACUUUAGGGGGACUGCCGGUGACAAGCCGGAGGAGGGUGGGGAUGACGUCAAGUCCUCAUGGCCUUUAUGACCAGGGCUACACACGUGUUACAAUGGGAGUUACAGAGGGAAGCUAAGCCGCGAGGCCAUGCCAAUCCCAGAAAAACUUUCUCAGUUCGGAUCGCAGUCUGCAACUCGACUGCGUGAAGCUGGAAUCGCUAGUAAUCGCGGAUCAGCACGCCGCGGUGAAUACGUUCCCGGGCCUUGUACACACCGCCCGUCACACCAUGGGAGCCGACAAGGGCAGAAGUCGCCGAGCUAACCUUCGGGAAGCAGGCGCCCAAGCUGUUGUUGACGACUGGGGUGAAGUCGUAACAAGGUAACC
This 1481-nucleotide ribosomal RNA is filed under the name uncultured bacterium. RNAcentral's name for it is "bacterial SSU rRNA". It matches the Rfam family "Bacterial small subunit ribosomal RNA". The record is from RNAcentral.